Molecule: unclassified non-coding RNA, 1860 nt
Filed under: Hevea brasiliensis (rubber tree)
Lineage: Eukaryota; Viridiplantae; Streptophyta; Magnoliopsida; Malpighiales; Euphorbiaceae
Source: RNAcentral
CUCAAAUAACAAAACAGUUUUUUCCAUAUUAUUUUUCUCAACAGUAUUUAAAAUAAUAAUUUUUUUUUGUCAAAAGCAUUUUUAGCCCUCCAACUUCAAUGUCAAAUAGGCACUAAAGAGGGACACUUACAAUCCACACAAACAGUUCAAAGUUUGGUACCUUACUUUCUUCAACUUGCCAAUGGCAAAACAGGCUCAAUCUAUUAAGUAGCAAUCCCAUUGAAAAAUAUAAGUUCUAAUUUGACAUCGCAUGGGUUAUAACACAGCCAUAUAUUUGCAUGGGACUAGCUGAUUCCACAAAUAAGCUUUGUAAGGUGCUCAAGCUUCACAAAAUUACUAAGGAUGUUUGAAAUAUAUAUAUAUCCAAACUUCAAAGAUUAUUAUUUCAUUUCAGUUUCCAUAAAAUAUGAACAUUGGCAGAUCUGGAGGGGUCUAUGGCCAAGCCAAUGCAGUACCAUGGCUUAGACAGAAAUUUAAAAAAAAAAAAUCAGGUAUUAAAAAUGCUUUUAGACACUGGAUCAGAGAUGGAGGGGCAGUGAACUGUACCAUAGAAAACGCUGCUCCAUAAUAAGGAUAAGCUGCAGGAAUGAAUCUUUCAUAUUCAUUGUGCCUAUAGGGACGGACUGGAAUCUGCUUUGAUAGGGAUAAGGUCGUAUAUCCAAGUCUUCUGUACUCAAUUUUGAACUGGAAAACCCCAUAAACAUCAGGAACCUUGAAAGCAGUAUAAUAGAGACCCUUCUUAUCAGUUGAUAAGGUUUUCAACACAUAAGGACUCAUCAUGUAAAACUGUAAUUGAACAUCAUCUGCUACAUAUGGUUCCCAACUUGUUCCAGACCACUCAUAAAUUUCGACUGAGUAUUCCAAGUCGUCUUUGAUUCUGUACAAUGAAGGUUCAUCUGCUUUCCCAACUUUGUGGUGUCUUACUUUCACAGCCUUCAGAUGACCUCUCUCAUGGAAAAUCCAUUUGCUAAGUUCAACCAAAAAUUGCUCAUUGCCAGAUUUCUCAUGUUUUGUUGAACUCCCUGCCUUCUGCAACCCAGAUCUAAAAAAUCGAUUUCCGAACAGGCUUAAUGAGCCAGCAAUCAAAAUCCGAGCAUUAUCUCUUGCCUGCACUAUAGAUACCAAAGAGAUAGCAGUUCCGGUAAGAGAUGGAGGAUUUGACAACUUGGUCUUGGGAUUAGCUGAAUAGGAUGAAGGAGAAGCUGAGAGAACUUUUGUUACCAAGGUAUUGGCAGGAUUUAACGUGUGAGCAAUCCCCUGGAAAAGUACAGGAGCGUCAAUUUUCUUGCUGCCCAAUAUCACAUCAGACUUAAUGAAGUCAUCACUAGCAAUCAGCGUAUGAUCUCCUUCAAUCUCCGAUACCGCGUAGCUAGUGUGAUCAAUAACCAUAGCCGCAGGAUCCUCAUCGAAAUCGGCUCCAUUCUCGGUGGCAAUUUCACGAAUCGAUUCAGAGGCAUUAGUAUCAGCCGCAAUUAUCAAAUCACGACCCGAAUCAACAAAAUCAAGAAUUGCAGCGACAUCAACUGGUCCCCCAAACAGCUCAGCGGUGGGGCAGAAAAGAAUUAACGCGUCGUAUAAGUACUGGCCGUAACGAUGGAGUCCGAUUUUGGGAUCGUCUGCGAGCUUAAACUCGAGAUGGAAGCCGCGAGAUUGCAGGGACUUGAAGAACAAAGAAUGCGAUGAUUUGAUGGCGAAAUCGUCUAACAAGACGAGGACACGGCGGUGUGUAGCAGAUUCAGAAGUAAAGGAAUAACAGAGAAAUGGAAGGAAUUGUAGUAUAGUUAGGAGGAUUACGAGCUUUUUCGCCAUUUCUGGAGAUUGAGGUUGAGUGGAAUUGCAGAGUGACUGAGGUAUUUUUUU